RNAcentral lists this ribosomal RNA (860 nucleotides) under uncultured bacterium. RNAcentral describes it as "bacterial SSU rRNA". It matches the Rfam family "Bacterial small subunit ribosomal RNA", at positions 28 to 904 of the family's 1533-position model. The record is from RNAcentral.
GACGAACGCUGGCGGCGUGCCUAACACAUGCAAGUCGAGCGAGGGAAACUCUUCGGAGUGGAACUAGCGGCGGACGGGUGAGUAACACGUGGGCAACCUGCCUCGUAGAGGGGAAUAGCCUUUCGAAAGGAAGAUUAAUACCCCAUAAGAUUGUAGUUCCGCAUGGAAUAGCAAUUAAAGGAGUAAUCCGCUACGAGAUGGGCCCGCGUCGCAUUAGCUAGUUGGUAAGGUAAUGGCUUACCAAGGCGACGAUGCGUAGCCGACCUGAGAGGGUGAUCGGCCACAUUGGGACUGAGACACGGCCCAGACUCCUACGGGAGGCAGCAGUGGGGAAUAUUGCACAAUGGGGGAAACCCUGAUGCAGCAACGCCGCGUGAGUGAUGACGGUCUUCGGAUUGUAAAGCUCUGUCUUCAGGGACGAUAAUGACGGUACCUGAGGAGGAAGCCACGGCUAACUACGUGCCAGCAGCCGCGGUAAUACGUAGGUGGCGAGCGUUGUCCGGAUUUACUGGGCGUAAAGGGAGCGUAGGCGGAUUUUUAAGUGGGAUGUGAAAUACUCGGGCUCAACCUGAGUGCUGCAUUCCAAACUGGAAAUCUAGAGUGCAGGAGAGGAAAGUGGAAUUCCUAGUGUAGCGGUGAAAUGCGUAGAGCUUAGGAAGAACACCAGUGGCGAAGGCGACUUUCUGGACUGUAACUGACGCUGAGGCUCGAAAGCGUGGGGAGCGAACAGGAUUAGAUACCCUGGGUAGUCCACGCCGUAAACGAUGAAUACUAGGUGUAGGGGUUGUCAUGACCUCUGUGCCGCCGCUAACGCAUUAAGUAUUCCGCCUGGGGAGUACGGUCGCAAGAUUAAAACUCAA